Molecule: ribosomal RNA, 512 nt
Filed under: uncultured bacterium
Lineage: Bacteria
Description: partial 16S ribosomal RNA
Rfam family: Bacterial small subunit ribosomal RNA
Source: RNAcentral
GAUGAACGCUGGCGGCGUGCUUAACACAUGCAAGUCGAACGGUGAAGCAGGAGCUUGCUCCUCUGAUUUAGCGGCGGACGGGUGAGUAACACGUGGGUAACCUGCCUGUAAGACGGGGAUAACCCCGGGAAACCGGAGCUAAUACCGGAUGAUAACGAGAAGCGCCUGCUUCUUUUUUGAAAGUCGGUUUCGGCUGACGCUUACAGAUGGGCCGGCGGCGCAUUAGCUAGUUGGUGAGGUAACGGCUCACCAAGGCAACGAUGCGUAGCCGACCUGAGAGGGUGAUCGGCCACACUGGGACUGAGACACGGCCCAGACUCCUACGGGAGGCAGCAGUAGGGAAUCUUCGGCAAUGGACGAAAGUCUGACCGAGCAACGCCGCGUGAGCGAUGAAGGCCUUCGGGUCGUAAAGCUCUGUUGUCAGAGAAGAACAAGUACCGGAGUAACUGCCGAUACCUUGACGGUACCUGACCAGAAAGCCACGGCUAACUACGUGCCAGCAGCCGCCGUAA